Molecule: ribosomal RNA, 468 nt
Filed under: uncultured bacterium
Lineage: Bacteria
Description: partial 16S ribosomal RNA
Rfam family: Bacterial small subunit ribosomal RNA
Source: RNAcentral
GACGAACGCUGGCGGCGUGCUUAACACAUGCAAGUCGAACAGAAAGGCCCUGCUUUUGUGGGGUGCUCGAGUGGCGAACGGGUGAGUAACACGUGAGUAACCUGCCCUUGACUUUGGGAUAACUUCAGGAAACUGGGGCUAAUACCGGAUAGGAGCUCCUGCUGCAUGGUGGGGGUUGGAAAGUUUCGGCGGUUGGGGAUGGACUCGCGGCUUAUCAGCUUGUUGGUUGGGUAGUGGCUUACCAAGGCUUUGACGGGUCGCCGGCCUGAGAGGGUGACCGGCCACAUUGGGACUGCGAUACGGCCCAGACUCCAACGGGAGGCAGCAGGGGGGAAUAUUGCACAAUGGGCGGAAGCCUGAUGCAGAAACGCCGCGGGCGGGAUGACGGCCUUCGGGUUGUAAACCGCUUUCGCCUGUGACGAAGCGUGAGUGACGGUAAUGGGUAAAGAAGCACCGGCUAACUACGUG